GUUUGUUUUGGCAGUACAUUUACUAAAAUUGAACGAUACAGAAAAGGUUAGCAUGGCCCCUGAGCAAAGAUGACACGCAAAUCCAUGAAGCAUUCCAUAUCUUU
Meriones unguiculatus (Mongolian gerbil) is the source of this 104-nucleotide small nuclear RNA. Lineage: Eukaryota; Metazoa; Chordata; Mammalia; Rodentia; Muridae. The record is from RefSeq and is a predicted model, not a curated record.